CACGAACUGUGCGAACGUUAUUCGGAAUUACUGGGCUUAAAGAGUUCGUAGGCGGCUUGUUAAGUCGGGUGUGAAAUCCCUCGUCUCAACCGAGGAAUUGCGCUCGAAACUGGCAGGCUUGAGUGAGAUAGAGGUGAGCGGAACUGAUGGUGGAGCGGUGAAAUGCGUUGAUAUUAUCAGGAACACCGGUUGCGAAGGCGGCUCACUGGGUCUUUACUGACGCUGAGGAACGAAAGCUAGGGGAGCGAACGGGAUUAGAUACCCCGGUAGUCCUAGCUGUAAACGAUGAGCACUGGACUGAGCGGACCUCCACAUCCGCCCGGUCGUAGCGAAAGCGUUAAGUGCUCCGCCUGGGGAGUAUGGUCGCAAGGCUGAA
This 376-nucleotide ribosomal RNA is filed under the name uncultured bacterium. Its description in RNAcentral is "bacterial SSU rRNA". It matches the Rfam family "Bacterial small subunit ribosomal RNA", at positions 524 to 898 of the family's 1533-position model. The record is from RNAcentral.